GCGUUGUUCGGAAUUACUGGGCGUAAAGCGCACGUAGGCGGCUUUGUAAGUUAGAGGUGAAAGCCCGGAGCUCAACUCCGGAAUUGCCUUUAAGACUGCAUCGCUAGAAUUGUGGAGAGGUCAGUGGAAUUCCGAGUGUAGAGGUGAAAUUCGUAGAUAUUCGGAAGAACACCAGUGGCGAAGGCGACUUACUGGACACAUAUUGACGCUGAGGUGCGAAAGCGUG
Molecule: ribosomal RNA, 226 nt
Filed under: uncultured bacterium
Lineage: Bacteria
Description: partial 16S ribosomal RNA
Rfam family: Bacterial small subunit ribosomal RNA
Source: RNAcentral